Molecule: ribosomal RNA, 885 nt
Filed under: Tetraphleps galchanoides
Lineage: Eukaryota; Metazoa; Arthropoda; Insecta; Hemiptera; Anthocoridae
Description: partial 16S ribosomal RNA
Source: RNAcentral
UUAUUAUUUACAAUAAUGAUUAGGUUUUGUGCAAUUCGACCUAGCUUGAAUUUAACGAGUUGAUUACUUUAAUAUAUAUAUUUAUGUUGAAUUUAUUAGAAAUAACUUUUUUAUUAGUAGUGUUUAUUGAAAUUUUUAUGUGUGUGAUAGUUUAUAGUACUGUAAAGGAAUUAUAAAUUUUAAUUUUAAGCAAAUUUUAUUUAUUGUACCUUUUGUAUCAGGGUUUAUUAAUAUAAAGAUUAAUUAUUUAAUUUUCCCGAAAUUAGAAGAGAUAUAUUUUUAUGAUAGUUUCUGUUUUAUAAUAAUUAUUAAUUUAAAUAUAGGGGUUAUAUGCUAUUCAUUUUUAAAUAUCUGGUUAUCUAAUAAAUUAAUUUAAUUAAAAUAAUUAAAUGUUGAUUUAUUUAUAUUAUUUUGUAAUUUUAAUCAAUAAAGGAUAAGCUUUUUUGAUUUUUUAUAAUUUUAUUAAAAUUUAAUUUUUGUAGGAUUAGUAACUUUCAUCAUUAAUUUCGUUAUAGUUUAGUUUAAUUUUAUUUUUAUUUAUUAUUAAAAUUUAAUUUUUUAUUAAAAUGUUUUAUUUAAUCUUUUUUUAUUUAUAAUAAUGAUAAAAUUAGUAUUUUUUUAUAUAAAAUAUAGUAACUCGGCAAUUUUAGUUUUCACCUGUUUAUCAAAAACAUGUCUUUUUGUUUUUAUAUAAAGUCUAGUCUGCUCUAUGAUUAAUUUUAAAUGGCCGCAGUAUUUUAACUGUGCAAAGGUAGCAUGAUCAUUUGCUUCUUAAUUAGGGGCUUGUAUGAAUGGCUGGAUGAGAAACUAACUUUCUUUAUUUUAUUUUAAAUAAUUUUAUUUUUUAGUUAAAAAGCUAAAAUAUUUUUAUUAGACGAGAAGACC